AAGUCGUAACAAGGUAACCGUAGGUGAACCUGCGGUUGGAUCAUUAGUGGUUUUUUGGCAGCGCUGUUGUAGUGUAUGGUGGUGGUGUUGGGUUUUGGUUUGGGUUUGGUGUUUGUUGGUUGUGUGUUGCCUGGCCUUGGUCUUGGCACAGCAACGGACGACGGCACACUCGGACCAGACCCAACAGACCUCGCCAGAUAGACGUCUUUGCUUGCUUUGAUGAAACCAAAUCAAAAACAACUUUUGACAACGGAUCUCUUGGCUCUC
Molecule: unclassified non-coding RNA, 267 nt
Filed under: fungal sp.
Lineage: Eukaryota; Fungi
Description: partial internal transcribed spacer region
Rfam family: Eukaryotic small subunit ribosomal RNA (bases 1-46)
Source: RNAcentral